CGGAGGAAAAGAACAACAGGGAUUGCCCUAGUAACGGCGAGUGAAGCGGCAACAGCUCAAAUUUGAAAUCUGGCUUCGGCCCGAGUUGUAAUUUGCAGAGGAAGCUUUGGGCGCGGUACCAACUGAGUCCCCUGGAACGGGGCGCCACAGAGGGUGAGAGCCCCGUAUAGUUGGACGCCUAGCCUGUGUAAAGCUCCUUCGACGAGUCGAGUAGUUUGGGAAUGCUGCUCAAAAUGGGAGGUAAAUUUCUUCUAAAGCUAAAUACCGGCCAGAGACCGAUAGCGCACAAGUAGAGUGAUCGAAAGAUGAAAAGCACUUUGAAAAGAGGGUUAAAUAGCACGUGAAAUUGUUGAAAGGGAAGCGCUUGUGACCAGACUUGCGCCCGGCUGAUCAUCCGGUGUUCUCACCGGUGCACUCUGCCGGGCUCAGGCCAGCAUCGGUUCUCGCGGGGGGAUAAAGGUCCUGGGAACGUAGCUCCUCCGGGAGUGUUAUAGCCCAGGGCGCCAUGCCCCCGCGGGGACCGAGGACCGCGCUCUGCAAGGAUGCUGGCGUAAUGGUCAUCAGCGACCCGUCUUGAAACACGGACCAAGGAGUCAAGGUUUUGCGCGAGUGUUUGGGUGUAAAACCCGCACGCGUAAUGAAAGUGAACGUAGGUGAGAGCUUCGGCGCAUCAUCGACCGAUCCUGAUGUUUUCGGAUGGAUUUGAGUAGGAGCGUUAAGCCUUGGACCCGAAAGAUGGUGAACUAUGCUUGGAUAGGGUGAAGCCAGAGGAAACUCUGGUGGAGGCUCGCAGCGGUUCUGACGUGCAAAUCGAUCGUCAAAUCUGAGCAUGGGGGCGAAAGACUAAUCGAACCAUCUAGUAGCUGGUUACCGCCGAAGUUUCCCUCAGGAUAGCAGUGUUGUCUUCAGUUUUAUGAGGUAAAGCGAAUGAUUAGGGACUCGGGGGCGCUUUUUAGCCUUCAUCCAUUCUCAAACUUUAAAUAUGUAAGAAGCCCUUGUUACUUAGUUGAACGUGGGCAUUCGAAUGUAC
This 1030-nucleotide ribosomal RNA is filed under the name Humicola seminuda. RNAcentral describes it as "partial 28S large subunit ribosomal RNA". It matches the Rfam family "Eukaryotic large subunit ribosomal RNA", at positions 51 to 1118 of the family's 3401-position model. Lineage: Eukaryota; Fungi; Ascomycota; Sordariomycetes; Sordariales; Chaetomiaceae. The record is from RNAcentral.